Molecule: RNA transcript, 6824 nt
Organism: Cebus imitator (Panamanian white-faced capuchin)
Lineage: Eukaryota; Metazoa; Chordata; Mammalia; Primates; Cebidae
Gene: ACBD6
Gene name: acyl-CoA binding domain containing 6
Exons: 13
Source: RefSeq, a predicted model, not a curated record
GGGGCAGGCGGAACCUUAGUCCUCAUCCCUGAGUUUCCCGCGACUCUGCGCUCACCGCUACACCACCACACGGACGACCUCCUUCCCCCCCCCAUCCCCCCCGGGGACCCAUCCCGGUGGCGGGCUCCGGAGCUCGAGACUGCUAAUUUCAGCGAAACGAUUAACAGACGCCCCAACGGCUGACGGCACCGCCUCUCCUCCGGCAGGGAGGGGCGUGCGGCGUAUGGUCACCCACGCUUCCCCGCCAGCGCAGAGCACGCCCCACCUAGGCGCGCGCAGCCGGCACGCACGCCGCCCCGCCCCCCCGGCCCGUCGCCACCCGCGCGUUACGCUCGCUCGCAUCCCCCGCCCUCGACCCCCGUGCCGUUGGAGGGGCCCGAGGCCAGCCAGAGAGCGCUGUUGGCCGGAGGGAAGCCAGAGGAGACCGGGUCGGCUGGGCGGAGCGGCAGAGGGUCGGGGAGACUGCCUAAACGCCCGGGAGUAGAAGCGGACGGGGGCAGGGUUACGUGAGGGAGCGCGCCGCCACUGAGCUUGGGUCCGACUGGAGCUCGGGGUCGGGACCCAGACUCGGGGGCCAGGUCCCCAAGCCGGCCUUACACCCGAGUCGAGGAGAGACCGGACACAGAGGGACCGAGCGAGCAGGGAGACAUGGCUUCAUCAUUCCUGCCCGCGGGGGCCACUACCGGCGACAGCGGUGGAGAGCUGAGCUCAGGGGACGACUCCGGGGAGGUGGAGUUCCCCCAUAGCCCUGAGAUCGAGGAGUCCAGUUGCCUGGCCGAGCUGUUUGAGAAGGCUGCAGCGCACCUGCAAGGCCUGAUUCAGGUGGCCAGCAGGGAGCAGCUCUUGUACCUGUAUGCCAGGUACAAACAGGUCAAAGUUGGAAAUUGCAAUACUCCUAAACCAAGCUUCUUUGAUUUUGAAGGAAAGCAAAAAUGGGAAGCAUGGAAAGCACUUGGUGAUUCAAGCCCCAGCCAAGCAAUGCAGGAAUAUAUUGCAGUAGUUAGAAAGCUAGAUCCAGGUUGGAAUCCUCAGGUACCAGAGAAGAAAGGAAAAGAAAGAAAUACUGGUUUUGGUGGGCCAGUUAUUAGCUCUCUAUAUCAUGAAGAAACCAUCAGGGAAGAAGACAAAAAUAUAUUUGAUUACUGCAGGGAAAACAACAUUGACCAUAUAACCAAAGCCAUCAAAUCGAAAAAUGUGGAUGUGAAUGUGAAAGAUGAAGAGGGCAGGGCUCUGCUUCAUUGGGCCUGUGAUCGAGGACAUAAGGAUCUUGUCACAGUCUUGCUACAACAUAGAGCUGACAUUAACUGUCAGGAUAAUGAAGGCCAAACAGCUCUACAUUAUGCCUCUGCGUGUGAGUUUCUGGACAUUGUAGAGCUGCUGCUCCAGUCUGGUGCUGACCCCACUCUCCGAGACCAGGAUGGCUGCCUACCAGAGGAGGUGACAGGCUGUAAAACAGUUUCCUUGGUGCUACAGCGGCACACAACUGGCAAGGCUUAAUCAAAAGACUGGAAAACUGCAGUCUGUAAUAGCAUAAGGCUUCCAUUAUGAAAGAAAACUACAAAAAUAAUACUUCUUUUAUCGUCCAUCUUUGUUGCUUCACCAGAGAGAUGUUGGAUUAAAGUAUAGUGAUUAUCAGACUCAGGAAAAAGUAUGCUUCCUUCUGAUGAUCGUCAGCUAGUGUUUAUUAUGUACCAAGUGUGGUCACUUUUUCAAAUAUGCAUUAAUUGGCAUUACACUAGAAGACUGAACAGGGGUGGGAAAGUGACCAUUUGAACCUAAUGCUACUGGAUGCAGUGGCUGAACAUGUGGGACCAUGAGGGCAUUAAGAAGUCAAGAGGUGAUUUCCAAUGGACUGUGCUAGGCAGCAGCCACAAAUUCAUCAUCGGCACUACAGGUAGGAUUUAUUUUUCCUUUCACUUGUGUAGCAAUCCCGGUUUCCAUUUUAAUAUUUAGAAGGUAAGUUCAAUUGAUGGACACUUUGUGUAAUAAAAGACUCUUUUAAAGUACAUGCUCAUGCACACACGCAAGAUAGAAAGUGGCACUCCAGUGCCCAUGGUUUUCAUGGAGUACAUUUGUGGAGCCCAAAGCUUAGUCCUGGAUAUGUUUAUAGCACUUUAACUCCGUUCGUGAGUUUGGAACCCUUCCAGAAAAAAAAAGACAUAUAUUAUUGUUUAUAAUCUGCUUUAUUCCGCCAAACCUUGACUGAACAGACUUGUGGAUUGCUCUUUAAAUCCCUCAGUGCCUUUAACUACUGAUACAGAAAGUGGUUAAUGCGCAUUCUAAAUGAAGCUUGGCAGCCACUCCAGGAAAUCACUUUAAUUGAGGAGCAUUAAAUGUUAAAAUGAUUUUUUGUUUAAAGCCAGCACACACAUACUGAGUAUAGAAGUUCUGGCCCACCAGUAAUAAUAGUUUCUUGGUUAUCAUAUCCCUCCAGCUUUGCAGUUGACAGGUGUCGAAAAAGUGACUUUCAGUUCACUGGGUCACUAUCUGCAGACAGCUGGCCAGUGAGGAGGCAACCUUCAAGGAUUCCACUUCAGAGGAGGGCAAGGGGCUGUCAACUUUAUGGAUGUUUGUUUUUCUGAAAUAAUAAACUAGUCCCAGGUGACUAAAAUAUGAGAUUUAACCCCAAAGUCCUCGCCUGGGCUCUCCAUUGCUAUGCAGAAGCCAUCUGUUGAAAUCUAUUUACCAUUUUAAAGAUCUCUUUUUUAUUUCCAACUCCAAGUGUGUGCCAAGACCACUUUUCGGGGCCUAUAUUUUAUCUUUCAGAAAGCAGUUUCCAGCCUUUCCCAAAUCCCCAACCCCUGCCAACCAACAGGAGAUCCUGGUCUAGGACUGGCAAGCAAGAGAAAGAUAAAUUACUCAAUUUUUUUUUUAAAGGCCUCUCCUACAACUCUAGAGGCACUUCGGCCUCUCUGAACCAUCUGAGUAGAAUCCUGGGCCCAAGGAGAAAGGAUAGGAAAGCAGUGGAAUGCUGACUGUGGAGCCUCCAUGUGUUCUCCUGACUAAACUUAGGGUCUGCACACUGAUAAAGCCUCCUGCUGAGAAAAAAACCUAAAUGGAGAUUUUCCUAGAAAAUGUUUGUCCAGGAGCCCUGAUGACUCUGAUGAGGUGUUUCUGUUCCUCUGUGGUGACUUCAACAGCCCAGAUGAGAUUAAGUGGCUUUCCACAUCCCGCCGAGAAGCCUAGAAGGUGAGCAUUAGACCCAUGAGCUCUCCCCAGGGCCCCACAGCUUGGUGUUCCAAGAGGAGGCUGACCUCUAGGCCUCAGCUGACCUCUGGGGUGAACUACUGUCCUCCCAGGGUAUCGUGGUCCUGGCAAGCAACUUGUUCCAUCCUCUGUCCCACAAACUUCUUUUUCUAUUUCCACCUGGGCCUAUGCACCAACCCUUAAAUAAGGCCUCCCCAGUCUAGGCUUCAACACCGUAUCCCUUCUGAGGCCUGCCCCUGUUCCCCUCAUGAAAAAGGAAUGCUGGGGGAAGCUCAUGCUCUUUAAAGGGAAAAGGAAGGUAAAGGCUCCGCUGUCAAAGGGCCAUGAGUCAGCCUUUUGCCCAUACCUGUCAUAUGACCAGGCCUCUGCAGGAGCCACAGGCUCCCUGUAGGAACAAUCAGGCCUUCCAGGUAUACAGACGUGCCACGCUUUCCCCAAGCACAUCCACACUCAGUUGUGUUCAUCGAUCCCUGCUACGCAGUGAGAUGGGCAAAGAUGUGGUAUUCCCCAUGGGAAUGGGGCUCAAGAGAAGUGAUAGAUUUGACAGAGCCGCACUGGAAAGCAGGUCUCUGAUUGCCAGUUCGGUACUCUUCCCUUCUCCCCACCCAACCCCAGCAGAAGACCUUCCACAUCUGAGAACUCAGUAACUGAGAACACUUAUUCUUUGCAAACAACCUGAGGAUUCACAACAUGCAGUAAUUUGUAAUUUUGCUGAUGCACGAAUUUGAAUAUAGCGCAUGCUGCAAAGCUUGUGUGGAGGGACCGGAUGAAGUGAGUGGUGGGGGAACGGGUUUCCGAAGUGAAGCCAGUUCCCCAUCUCACAUGCACUCACAACUCUGAUUUCCCAGGAAAAAGGGCCUGUGGAGCGUGUCCUCCCCACUACUCGGACUGGAGGAACGGCUGGCUCUAGGGGACUUUGGGAGUAGGCCAGUGUCCCAGCAAAGGGGAAGAGGCAGGAGAGGGGCUAGGGGCACAAGGCUGGAACCAGGUCAUCUGUUCACAGCUGUGUGGGCUGAUUAGUGGGAGGUCGUGGGGCCACAGAACAGGGCCUGGCCCAGUCCCAGCUUCCAGUCCAGACCUCAGCAAUCUUGUUUCCUACUCCUGUCACGUGGUAAAGGGCCACUACCAUUUCCCCCCCACCUUCACUUCAAUUCUUGAGGAAAAGCCUGUGUUCAGGAGGGAGUUGCCAAGGCCUCAAGAAAGAUCCCUCCUGAGUGCCAGGGAUUACGGAUUCCCAGGGGACGUUCCUAAGGCCUCGGCCUGGCCCCUCCAGCCCUGCUCACCUCGGAAGCUCAGCUCACUGUCACUAACCCCACAGUCCUCUGCAGAGCUCUCCUUCUCCUGCUUGCUGCCGCCCCGGCUCCUCUUGACGCUCUUAUAGAACUGCCCCCAGCGGUGCCGCCCCGCGUCCUUCUUCAGGCGUUUCUCUUUGGCCCUUCUGUUCUGAAACCAAACCUGCCACACAAGCACAAGGGACAUGCUCGGGGUCCACCAUGAAUCCAAAGCCCCCAGGACCCCCAAGGUGGGCGGCUGGAAGCGGACUGAAGCCAGAAUGGAGCACCGGUCUGGUAGUACAAUGCAUCCCGACCCCUUCUCCCUGGCCUCAGAACUCUGCCUUCAGUUCUGGCAAAAGUCCUGGGGUUGUGGCCCUGAGCCCAACCACCAGUGAGGUGAUGUCACUCAUGCUCCCUGCUUAGGACACCUUCCACCCCUGUCCCAGGCCUGGGAUCCCCCGAGGGCACGGGAGUGCUGGCAUCUCACCUGUACGACCCUCAUGUCCAGGCCUGUCUCUGAGGACAGCUGCUCUCUCACGUGCCGGGCAGGCUUGGGGGAGUUCUUGUAUGCAUUCUUUAAUGUCUCCAGCUGCUUGGCUGUGAUGGUGGUCCGCGGCCGCUUAGCUCCAGCCUCUGAGUCAUCUGCAUGGAAAAACCACUGCUUACUAGGUUCGGCCUAUCUGCAGCAGCUAUGCCUCCUUCCCCACCCUCCUUCCUUCCUUUCUGCACCUGAGCCUGCCUGCUGUAGGCAGGGCAGUGGGAGGCACAGGGGACAGAGUGGAGAGGUUCCCCACUCCCACGGCAGCAACUCCUGUACCACAGGCCUUCCCAAGCCACUGAAAAGAGAAGACCACAGUCCUCUCUCUGCUCAGCUCCCUGCCUCUCCCCUCCCAUGCCAGCCCAGCUGCACAGAAGUCCCAUCAGAUUGAAUGAAUGUACCCACUUCCACACAUGUCCCUGUCAUGACAAACACUCUGCUCGCACAUCCUUGUGAGAUAUUGCCAGAGCUGUGAAGGGGAACAGCCAGGGUGAAAUCUGCAUUCAAAGCCACCCUGGAAGCCCUCCCCUCUGUCUCAUCAGGAGUCUCCCAUUUCCCCACAGCCGCGUGCCUUUGCUCUGGCGUCACUGGGCGCACAGCCAGGGAUGAGUUCGCACACCUAGUAGUGUCCAAGCAGGUUUCUAAACUAUGGGUGAGAACCCACUCGUGGGCUGUAAAGUCAACUUAGUGGAUCAAAACUAGAAGAGGAACUCAGAUGAAGAGAAGAAAAUAAUAGAAUAGCAGGACCGCUUCAUGAACCUUGUUUACUUUUUAGGGUAUGAAUGUGUAUACUAAGAUGGAAUGUACAGUGGGUGUUUUUACUGUGAAUCGUCAACAUUUUUUGGAAAACACUGAUCUAAAGAACGUGCAGGGCAACACACUGAUCAACACAAAGUGCUCAACAGAAUUUGAGCAAAAAGCUCAAGUUCCUGUUAAAGUCUGGUUGGUUCCAUUUCGCGUCAGGCAGAGAGAGGUGUGGGUGUGUCCGGUGGCACAGGUGUGUCCGGUGGCACAGGUAAGUGGGAAGGUUUGUUUCUUCUCCCCGCACCCAGCUCUCUGCACGGUGCCCCUGGAGCACACAAAGAAUAGAGCCGGCAGCUGGCUUGGGCCGCUCUGCUCUCUGCCUGCUCACCUGUGUGUCCCUUAGUGUCUCUGUGACAUUCCUGACUUCCUCCCUGCCUCUGCUCUGUUCUUUCCAUUCAAGAAAUCCCUCUCUGAGGAACAGUAACAGCCAACGUGUUAGCACCUACCAUGCACUGGUGUUGACUAAGGACUUUCUAUGCAUUCGGUCCUCACCAUCGACAGGGCUCUCCCUGGCGUCAGCAGACCUGGCUUCAAUGUUCUUGCUGAGUGAGUGACUUGGGCCAGUAACACACCUCCCCUUGGAAGCCCAGGGUACAACACGGCCUGCCCUGGUCUUGGCAGGCACUAAAGGAGUGAAGCAGCUGUGUGCCCAGGACAUGCGCGCACACGGUGAGGGGACGCGCCCCGUGCCUUCCCUUCUCGGGCUGUUUUCUCGCGUGGUCACUCCUCCUGGAACUGCUGUGGCCCAACUCCCUCCCUGAAGCCCUGGACCUGAAGGGAAGGGAUUCUGGAGCUCCUGCCACAGAGACCACACUACUCAGAGAGUCAGUCCAAAAGACAAAGGGUAACCUCCAAAACUCCUUCCUUUUCAUUCUGAGAAGUCAGUCCCUUCUGUGCAUGUUGGUAGAGUCUAGACAGGAGCGUCUGAUGCAGCUUUGAAUUAUGCAAAUGGGAAAUCGUGCCCUAUGUAGUCCUCAUAUAGAAUAUGUGAAAUAAUGCAA